GCCAGGCAUGAGCUGGAAGAAUCCCUGAAUUCGUAUGGUGUGAAACUCCCUCUCAAGUUUCAUAAGCAAGAUGAACACAUUUGACUGAAAUACAGUGGGAAUAACAGGCUGGGGCACUUUUCUUACCUGGCUCUGUGCCUGGGCCAGCCCUUCUUGCACAAGGCAUCUGAGACAGGAGGGCAGGACAAAGAGCUGCUCCUCUGCCCUGUAUUGCCUGCUGGCACGGGCCAGCCACAAACACCUGUGUUACAGCAGCACUCCCCAUGUCCAGGUCUUGCAGCUCUGCAGAAAAUAUGAAGAACUCCUGCAAAAAGUUGAAAAAUAAAAGAAAGCAUGUGUGCUGCUGACUGCACUUUUCUACAUCGAAUUUGCAUCAAAUGAAAAGGAAAAUAAAAUGUUAGUAAGGGGAUAAGAUACUUUGCAGUGCAAAGGCAUUGCCUAAAAGCAAAUUCCCAUUAGAGAGACAAAAAGCUGUUUCUAUAAAAUGGUGAUUAAUAUGAAAUGGAAUGAGCUUGUGGUCUCAGUCUUCUUCUCAGCAGAAAAUAAGUCACAAUCUCACUUUCAGCAAAUGAUUAAAGGGGUGUGAAGACAACUACUCUGAACUGCUCCCCUGUUGUCUCAUCACAGCAGGGAAGUCUCAUGCUAGCCACCCAUUACGGUACCCAAAUUUCAAGUUGUUCAUGUAAAUAUGAUUUACACUUUUAGGUCAUGUAAAUAUUUCAAGCAACAACAUUUUGGUAACUCAUACACAUAAAAUGGACUUAUAUUUUUGAAGAAAAAUCUGGCUAGACUACUUGGGGACUUUGCUCAGGCAAUCAAAGAAAAUGCAUCAAAGUCUUUGAGAUUACAAGAUGAAACUGUACUUUUUUUACUGUGUUAUCAUUAAACAAGACUAAAUUUUCAAAAAGCAUGCUUCUCUACUUAGAACUUACAAAUACUUUUUCUAUUUUAAACUGAGUAUUUUAAACCAUUUUCAAAGUCUUUCUCAUAAGUUUUUUCAGAUACAUUGCACAAGGGUAAUUGUAUUUUUUAUAUUUUGCAUUAAGUAGUACUUUGAGAAAUGACCCAAAUAAGGAGCAAAUAUGAGAAGAGGGAAAAAAAAUCCAUCAAUUUGCACAGCUCUGUGACAAGUCUUUCCUCUCCCUCCCAUGGCACCAUUGUGCUCUCUACAGCAAUGACAGGGGUUAUUUGUAAAAAAAAAGAUUAUGGGGCCAAGAUGAACUUCUCCUGGAACCAUGUUUAAAAAAAAAUAAAAAGAGUAAUUCAUCAGCUGGAAUUCAGAAAACUGGAUUGUUGCUAGAUACAGUCUGUGCACUCAUUAAUAAAGCCAGCUUCUAAUGUGGCCAUAUACUAGCUGCAGAAAUUUUUUCUCCUCAAAGAAAAAAGUAUUUGGGGUCCUUUGCACUUAUCUGUUGCUGUAAGACAUCAGUGGUUGUUUAAGAGAAAUCAAACCUUCAAAGGCCUUCCAAAGAAAUCACGCUAAUACCUUUUGGAAUGCUGCUCAUUGUGAAACAAUUGGAGUUGGGUGAACACGUUUACCAAACCUCAGUUUUGUGCUAUCCUUUCACUUUGCAUCCCGCAGUACAUUGCAUGCACUGAGUGGAAUGCCAAAGGAGCUCUGCUUGCUGGCACAUGCUCUGUUAAGGCACAGAGCUUUACUUUCCUGCUUUCCUUGGGCCUUUCCCAGACAUGGCAGUCCAGCAGAUCCCACUGGGACCAGCUGCAACCCAGUCCCUGGGCAGGUAGGUUGGUUAAGAGGUUAUGCUGCAAAGCCCUGCAGCUCAGACACAGAGGAGCACAAGGGCUGAGUCCCUGGCUCUGUGCACAGGACAGGAGCU
Long non-coding RNA from Prinia subflava (tawny-flanked prinia), 1838 nucleotides. RefSeq lists it as uncharacterized. The transcript has 3 exons. The record is from RefSeq and is a predicted model, not a curated record. NCBI's taxonomy places the organism in Eukaryota, Metazoa, Chordata, Aves, Passeriformes, Cisticolidae.